AAAAAUAAAAUAUUUUGAUUAAGUUUUAUAUGAAGAUCAAUUAUAAAAUUUAAAAAUAUUGGCGGUGUUUUACUUUAUUCUGAGAAUCUUGUAUAGUUAAAAUGAUAAUACACAAUAAAUCUUAUCUUUAUAUAUGGCUUAUAUAUUGCUGUUUAAUUUAUAAUUUGUUUAAUAAUAAAUAAUAAUAUAAAGUUGUAAUUAAUUCAAGUCAAAAUGUAGUUUUAUGAAGGUCUUUAUGAGUUGCUGUUUUCUGGUAAAGGAGAUAAAAAAAAUUUAAAAGAGUUUUUUAUAGGAGGAUUAGGAAGUAAAAAAAAAGUAGCUAGUUUUUUUGAUAAUUUUUGUAAUCAUGU
RNAcentral lists this ribosomal RNA (350 nucleotides) under Pacal trilobatus. RNAcentral describes it as "partial small subunit ribosomal RNA". The record is from RNAcentral. Lineage: Eukaryota; Metazoa; Arthropoda; Arachnida; Schizomida; Hubbardiidae.